This is a long non-coding RNA of Gasterosteus aculeatus aculeatus (three-spined stickleback), 8088 nucleotides long. The record is from Ensembl. Lineage: Eukaryota; Metazoa; Chordata; Actinopteri; Perciformes; Gasterosteidae.
CACAAUAAGUAAAAGUAGCUGUAAGAUGAAUUGUAAUUGAGUUUAAAGGUUUAGAAAAAUCAAAAAGGAUACAAAUUCAUUUAAAAAAAUAAAGAGAAAAAAGAAAUGUGAAAAUAAAAAUUCAGGAUUAGAUGAUGUCGUGAUUAAUGGUUGACCGUGUACACCCCCGUCCUGUUCUUCAUGGCUUUGUUCAUUUCUUCCUGUAAGACAUUAUCACAUAAUCAAAAACACCCAAAGAUAAGAACAUAAGUAAGAUAAGCGAUAACUUAAUAUAUAUGAACAAUAGGAUAAUAGUUACGUGUACAUUUAGUAGUGAAGAUAUUAACAUCAAAUAUUGCAAAUAACUAAAGUAAAAAAUGAAACUGGAAUUUCUGCAUUAAUGAACUUUUCCUGCUUUUUUCACUUACUAUAUUACUAUAUUAAGAAAGAUAUCUAUUUUCUAUGACUACCUAAAUGAUUACUCUGUUAACUUUAUUAUAUCUUCUUCAUUCCUCCAAACAGUAAGAACAUUCAGGUUCUUCAUGAGUUUCAAAGGUUCACUGCAGAUAUAAAUGGUUAAAAAAACAUGGAUGAUAUUCUGCUUAUUUCUUUUUAGCGAUCCAAAAUCUGCCCUACCUGAAGGUCUCAGGACAGGGUUUGUGAAGGAUUCCACUAAAAGACGCGAUUCAGACUUUAGUGAAGGAAAAGUUGAGUAAUUAAAUUUGCUUAAAAAAAUUGAAGAGAAAAUAGAUUCAAGAUUAAUAAAGAUUUGUUUUUUUCAAAACAUAUUUAAACCUUCCUUUAACGUUACUAAAAUUGUAGCCUAUUUAUUCAAUAUAAUGUAAUUAAUAAUAACUAAUACUUGUUGGUUGUUCUAUCACCCCCCACGUUUCCUGAGUAAAUGUUGACCGUGACGCAUUGAAAAUACACAGGUGAAUAAUGACUUCUAUUAAGUCAACACACACACGCCCAGAGACAGAUUUGCUCAGUUUGACUGCACGACUCACAUAGUCACAGCCAACGCACUCUGUCCUGUCUCUGUGUGACGUGUCCAUUGCGGACAUUAACCUUGCUGUGUAUCUUUGUGGGGACAUUGUGAUGUAUUUUGAGAGGUCCGUAUCUUGAGACGCUUGACUCACAUAGUUCCUCUUGUCGGGCACGUCAAAGCGGGUGUGCGUGGUGUACAGGGGGACGCCGUCGUUGUUACUCAGGCUGUUGUAGGGACUGAAGUGGUUGUUUCGCCCUCUGAAGCAGCAGAGCCACACCAGCUGCAGAAGACAAGCACAUUGAACCCUGUGAAAGACUCUCAGCUUGUGUGACGGAGAUCGUCCUGCUUCUCCCCCAUGCGUUCUAGUUCUUCAUAUACACCCACGUCAGCCCCAAGCACAGAUUUUACAAUGGUUUCGUUCUCCAAGAUUGCUUUGUUAACUUUGUUAACUUCAGAGAGAAAAAAAUGUUCGCCAAUGUCAACAAGUAACCGAUUAUGUUUUUUCAGCCCGACUCACCAGUGCGACAAUCAGUAAGAGCAGCGCCAGCAGAACCAGUGCCGCCAGGACCAGCAGAGCAAUUCCCCAACCGGGUACCCCAACUCCACCACUGGCCGGGGACGGGUCGAGGGUCGUGCUCUGAGAUGUGUUUGGUCUAUCUGGGGAAACGGAGACAGGCGAGCCGCUGACUGUGGCACUGGAACUGGAGAGGGUGGUGUUGGUAUCAGUAGCGUUGGAUCCGGGUGUAGUUGCUGCGGGUAUACUGGUGGUGUUGGUAUCAGUAACGUUGGAUCCGGGUGUAGUUGCUGCGGGUAUACUGGUGGUGUUGGUAUCACUAACGUUGGAUCCGGGUGUAGUUGCUGCGGGUAUACUGGUGGUGUUGGUAUCAGUAACGUUGGAUCCGGGUGUAGUUGCUGCGGGUAUACUGGUGGUGUUGGUAUCAGUAGCGUUGGAUCCGGGUGUAGUUGCUGCGGGUAUACUGGUGGUGUUGGUAUCAGUAGCGUUGGAUCCAGGUGUUGUUGCUGCGGUUAUACUGGUGGUGUUGGUAUCAGUAGCGUUGGAUCCAGCUGUUGUUGCUGCGGGUAUACUGGUGGUGUUGGUAUCAGUAGCGUUGGAUCCAGCUGUUGUUGCUGCGGUUAUACUGGUGGUGUUGGUAUCAGUAGCGUUGGAUCCAGCUGUUGCUGCUGCGGGUAUACUGGUGGUGUUGGUAUCAGUAGCGUUGGAUCCAGAUGUUGCUGCUGUAGCAAAAAAGAACAAAAGCAAACAAACAUUUAACAAAAGUGAUUCACAAAUGUUUCGUCUAUAACAGGAUAUGUUUCAUCACUCUGAAUAACACCAGACGUCAUUAAACACUGUUAUAACUUUCAUUAAUGACUCAACUAUCAGUAUUCAUCGUCGAAUGGUUCACUAAAAUAUUACUUUUUUCAACAUCUGCCUGCAGAAGCAGGCAGAUGUUGAGCAAACAAAAUAAUAACAAAGAGGAACUAAGGCUAAAGUACGGGAAUAAGAACAUUUAGCACAUUGUUUUUUCUUUAGCAAAAGAAUGACUACAGUCAUCACAUUUUAAAAUCCAGACUCAGUAACAAAAGCACAAUAUAUUUACAUAUACCACUUUAAACUAACAACCUACCUGAGGCGGCGAAAGCUAGAGCCAUCCAGAGUGCGAACCGUGCCUCCAUCUUUCUGCAGAAAAUCCCAAAACAGUUUGUGACAAAGAUCUCACUGUGAGCGACUGGUGGAGUCUGUUUCCAUCCAGAGAAAGAGUCCUUUAUACACUGCCCCACCUGCACACAGGUGAAGACGGGGGAGGAGCCUGGCACACUCCCAUAAUGACGAGCCAAACCACUCUUAGUCACAGUGUAACUAGUGAGGACUGUGUAGUCAUAUUUAUGUUAAUAUUUGUAUCAUAUAUGUAUGUAAUACUUUCCUGACACACGGAUCUGAGCCAGCCACAUGUUUCUGUUGUAUCUAGAUGAUGUUAGAACGCUACCAGUCAAGCUGGAACAAACGGGUGGAAGCCACCAAUGCCUCACUGUGAUUGGAUGAGAGACACCUGUCUGUCAAAGGCACGUUGGUGGUGGUGGUGUUAUGUGGUUAGCACGGUGGUGGUGUUAGGUGGUUAGCACGGUGGUGGUUUUAUGUUGUUAGCAUGGUGGUGGUGUUAUGUUGUUAGCAUGGUGGUGGUGUUAGGUGGUUAGCACGGUGGUGGUGUUAUGUUGUUAGCAUGGUGGUGGUGUUAGGUGGUUAUGACGGUGGUGGUGUUAUGUUGUUAGCAUGGUGGUGGUGUUAGGUGGUUAGCACGGUGGUGGUGUUAUGUUGUUAGCAUGGUGGUGGUGUUAGGUGGUUAGCACGGUGGUGGUGUUAUGUUCUUAGCAUGGUGGUGGUGUUAUGUUGUUAGCAUGGUGGUGGUGUUAGGUGGUUAGGACGGUGGUGGUGUUAUGUUGUUAGCAUGGUGGUGGUGUUAGUUGGUUAUGACGGUGGUGGUGUUAUGUUGUUAGCAUGGUGGUGGUGUUAGGUGGUUAGCACGGUGGUGGUGUUAUGUUGUUAGCAUGGUGGUGGUGUUAGUUGGUUAUGACGGUGGUGGUGUUAUGUUGUUAGCAUGGUGGUGGUGUUAGGUGGUUAGCACGGUGGUGGUGUCGCUGCGAGCCUGUGAAUUUCCCCAUUGUGGAACUAAUAAAGGAAUAUCUUAUAUUAUCUCUCAGAUGAUGGUGUUAAAGCCGAUCAAAUAUCACAUUAUGCUAUGUCAUAAAAAAAGUUAGUGUCAAAAAAAUGCUAAUGUAGUACAGAAAAACUAUAGUGUCAAAAAAAGCGCAUAGCAUCAAAAACAAAGUAAUUCAAUAAAAGUCCUAAUAUAUAUAGUAUGCCAAAAAAUGUGAUAGAGAUAAUUAGAUUAAAUUAUGUGAAUAUAUGUCAUGAAAAAAUACAAAAUGUUAUGUCAAAAAAUAUAAUGAUAGUCAUGAUGUAUUAUGUUGAAAAUGUGACAUAAAAUCAAAAGUACCAAUACUUUACAAUAGUAAAUUAUUUUCUUUAUUGAUUAACACAGAUUUGAUUUCUUCACAUGUCACAAGAGGAAAGGAUGAUGACAAUAAUGUCCCUGGUUUAGUUGUAGGCAUCUUUCUCAGUCUGUGAUUGGCUGGAUGGUAGAGCCAAUGGGAGCUCAGGGACCACAAGCUGGACAGGCUCCGCCCCCGAUAUACCUAGGUCAGGAAACAGGAACAUUUAUUUCCAUAAUAUGUUAGACAUACAAGGAAUUUGACUUGGCAGUUGGGGCAUAACAUCAUAAAGUAAGACAAUGGACAACAAGAGAGGUAAGACGAAAAAAUGACUUGAACAGGCAAGCUAACUAAUUAAGUGAAACUCAUAUUUAGGCACUAACAAAACAGCAAUAAAAGAAAUAAAACUUGCUAGCCCAUGUUAGUCAAUUAGUUCAGAGAACUAUUCCUCUGCUCACCGCUCAGACUGGUUCCCAGUUGGCUCCAUAAAGAGCAGGAGCUCUGACUCAGCCCCUGACGCUGUUGGAGGGCGGAGCCUAUCUGCAGAUAGUGGGGCGGGGCCUGAAGAGGACAGCCCCGGCUGCCAGCGGAGCAAAACUGACUCCCGCCCACACACGUGACGGGAUUUGGGUUCCUGAGGAACAUAAAACAGAUAAAAAAUAUACUUAUUAUCCAACAACGGUUGUCCUGAUCAAUCAAUUGUUAAUCUAAAGAGUUAAUCCAAUGAGGAGUAAGAUAACGAGUGUUAAUAGUUCAAUUUAAAUAAACAUAUCAUUAAUCCUUAAAGGACUUUUGAGCUAAUGAGAGUUGAUCUAAGAGGAGUUAGUCUAAUGAAAUUUGAUCAAUCAAUCUUUGAUCAAACAGGAGGAGCGUUGAUCUGACCCGCUCUUGAUGAAGCUGGAGACGUAGGUCAUCAUGGCCAGAGAGAGGCGUCGGUCAGAGGAGGUGAAACGCUGCGAGCUCAUUGGAUGAUGAGGCGUCCCGAACACCAACUGAACAUCCAGAGGAACAGACGCAUCGGCCCUGCGCGCAAGAAACAGCCGAUCAAUAUCUUUCAUGGGCCCUGAUUGGCUCAGUGGCAGAGAGUCGAAGGGAAGCUACGGUUGUAAAGAAAACACAGUGACCAGGUGAAGGGGCCUGGUACGCUAACGCUAUCAAACUAGCUAAACCACUUGCUAGCGUUGGCAUUAGUGUGUCCGCUGUCAGUACCUGUUGUGAGAGCUGGUGGCAGGUUGGUGGUACAGGAAGACGUUAGCUUUGCUGUUAGCCCAGUGGCUAGCCAUCUGCAGACUGGGACAGAUGAUAAACAGAUCUCUGCAAAGCAAACAAACAAACAAACAGUCAUUCAGAGAACCAAAUCUCUGUGUUUACUCAAAGUUGUCGCCAGGUGUCUGGAGGGACGGACAGACAGAUAUAGAAACUGUAUUGCACGAGUUAGCCGUUAGCUUGUUGUGUUAGCUGCUUGCUCUUUUUGGACGCUGAAGGCCUCGUUGUCUGACCUGGUAGCGUUGUCGAGCGCCCUGGAGAACCGGUUGUACCCAGCAGGCGAGGCGCCGUGAUCCAGAGAGUAGAAUCCAGGCCGCCACCUCCUUCAGCGGGUCACUUCCUGUCACGCCGCCCAGCGAGCGGCUCAGGGCCUCGUAGAACGCCGUCUUACCGUCGGCUCGACCCCGAAGGGCCUCGAAGUCCUGGAGACAGAGAAGGUCUCUGAUUAGACUGAUGUACGUAGGAAUUCUCUAAUCGUUUGACGUUAUGUGCUGAAAUAUCUCCAUCGCUCUCUAUAAUAAAGAUUGUGAAAGCCUGAAUGAUUUUAACACGUUUUAAUCAUAGAAGAGUCCGUUGACUGAUUAACCUUUUGAACGUCUCCUUAUUUGCCCACAUGACGCAUGUGUCCAUCCUGUCAUCUCAGUGACGGCCCCUAUGACGGCGUUUGAGCUGGUUUUUGUGUGACCUCUGACCUUUAUCUUGCGAGCGCGGCCGAUCAGACCGUCGUGUUGCGACGACCCCAGCAGGAGGUCGACCCCGUGGAGGGAGGGCCGGGACGAGGACGGACGGGCCGGAGCCCAGGACUGGAAGGGGCCGCUGACCGCCAACAGCUGCAUCAACAACAACGCAUCAACAGAACAAACGAUGUCAUGAGAUCAGCUGGUGAACGACGAACGGCAGAAAAUAAUACAAAUACUCAGAGGCAGGAGACACAUAACAAUGUAACACUGAUAUCAAGUAGAUUCUAUUGUUUUACGAUUUCUGUCAAAUAAAUGAGCAUUUUUAUUGAUUUAUGUCCAUAUAAGUGUGUUAUUCUGCACUUCUAGUUCUCUACUUCUCGUCAUCACAACUGUUUCCAUUGAGAUGAAGGAACGUUCGAGGGGUCGAUUCGUACUUUGGUCUGAGCGGCGUUCAGCGCGGACACAGGCGCCGCUCUGAGGCAGGCGGCCAUCUUAUCGUCAUCGCCGUCGGGGAGGUCAGAUGUCACGCAGCCGAGCUCUUUGGCCAGAUGCACCGCCCGGCGUCUGGAGGCGGAGGAAGUCUGGACCAGUGACGGAGAAAAGACAGAACCGCCCUGGAGAACCAACGACAGGACACUUAAAAUAUAUUAUUUAUAGUAUUAUAAUAUUAUACAUUAUAUUAUUAUACCUAAAUAUAUUUCCAUGUUGCAAGACAAGGAGUAAUACUAAGGGGGGAGAAGAGAGGAAGAGGAGCAGAUAGGAGAGGAGAUGGAGACAGUGAAGAUGAAGAAGGUUAGGAGGAGAUAGAAAAGGAGAAAGAUGACAAAGGAAGGUGAGGAGUAAAAGGAGGAAGAAUACCAUGAGAUAAGGGAGGAGGAGGAGAUAGAAGCGGAGGAGAUAAGGAAGGAGGAGGAGAUAAAGGAGGAGGAGGAGAUAGAAGCGGAGGAGAUAAGGAAGGAGGAGGAGAUAGAAGCGGAGGAGAUAAGGAAGGAGGAGGAGAUAAAGGAGGAGGAGGAGAUAGAAGCGGAGGAGAUAAGGAAGGAGGAGGAGAUAAAGGAGGAGGAGGAGAUAGAAGCGGAGGAGAUAAGGAAGGAGGAGGAGAUAGAAGCGGAGGAGAUAAAGGAGGAGGAGGAGAUAGAAGCGGAGGAGAUAAAGGAGGAGGAGGAGAUAGAAGCGGAGGAGAUAAAGGAUAGAAGCGGAGGAGGAGAUAGAAGCGGAGGAGAUAAAGGAGGAGGAGGAGAUAGAAGCGGAGGAGAUAAAGGAGGAGGAGGAGAUAGAAGCGGAGGAGAUAAAGGAGGAGGAGGAGAUAGAAGCGGAGGAGAUAAAGGAGGAGGAGAAGUUCUCACCAUCAGCAUCAUGCGCUGGAAUGGAGGAGGAGAGGGAGAUGAGAGGAGGUGAAGGCUGGUGACAUCAGCGCCUCCUCUCUCCGACCCGACUGUCACUGUCCUGUUGUCUCCGCCCACCAGAGAGAUGUGGGCGUUAACCCAACGGAGCACCGCCUCUUGGUCCGACAGCCCGUAGUUACCACGGAGACCAGACGAAACUUGCAGGACGCGUUAAAGUCAAUAACUGUGAUGUUGGGUGUUGUCAUAGUAACUGAUGUCCCGGUGUCUACCUGUGCUCAGGAAUCCCAGGGCUGCGGUUCUGUAGCUUGCCGUUACCACAACCACAUCACCCACAGCAGCAAGGGCGGAGCCAUCCAACAGGCCUGGGCUUUGAUUGGCCGAGGGGUUGAAGAAGAAAACCAGGACUGGGACACGCCCCCUCUGACAAAAAUAAGUACAAGCAUGAUGCAGAAUGGUAAAUAUUAUUGUGACCUUUAAGGAUCAGCUGGUGUUGUUGGACAAUAAACAUUACUUUGAUGACCUCAUAAUAGAUCUGAUCAUCAAUGUAAUUGUCAAAUCAAUUAGUAAUAUAAACAAUCCUCCUAAUCGAUUAGGAAUCAAUAAUAAGUUAUUGAUAGCAACAAGUUCUGACCAGAGAAGCAGGAGUGAAGAUGUUGAGGUAGAGACAGUCUUCACUGGAGGAAGGAGAGUCUUCAUCACCAGGCUGGAUACAACUAGGACUGAAGUACAAGUACACAGCAUCACCAGCAGAACGUACAUCGUCAUGUGUCUGUUGUGUCCUAAAGUCGAACAACAGCCUGUUAUUAUAGACGUUGACCCUGCACGUGGACCGUGAUGU